This 150-nucleotide ribosomal RNA is filed under the name Triticum aestivum (bread wheat). RNAcentral's name for it is "partial small subunit ribosomal RNA". Lineage: Eukaryota; Viridiplantae; Streptophyta; Magnoliopsida; Poales; Poaceae. The record is from RNAcentral.
AAUCAAAGGGAUGUAGAAAUCAUGCUUCGGGAUUCAUUAUGCGUCCAAGGCCUUUUGUUCUUCUUCGAAUCUGUUGUUUUGGAACAAGUUUUUUUGGUUCUAAAAAAUAAACAGUUUCAAAAGGUUCAAUUGUACGAAAUGAAUUUCUAG